UACAGAGGGGGCAAGCGUUGUUCGGAAUUACUGGGCGUAAAGGGCGCGUAGGCGGCGCAACAAGUCACUUGUGAAAUCUUCGGGCUUAACCCGGAGCGGCCAAGUGAUACUGUCGUGCUAGAGUGCGGAAGGGGCUCCUGGAAUUCUCGGUGUAGCGGUGAAAUGCGUAGAUAUGCGGAGGAACACCGAUGGCGAAGGCAAUCCCCUGGGCCUGCACUGACGCUCAUGCACGAAAGCGUGGGGAGCAAACAGG
RNAcentral lists this ribosomal RNA (253 nucleotides) under uncultured bacterium. RNAcentral describes it as "partial 16S ribosomal RNA". It matches the Rfam family "Bacterial small subunit ribosomal RNA", at positions 524 to 776 of the family's 1533-position model. The record is from RNAcentral.